GUGAGCGUAGCUCAGUCGGUAGAGCACAGGAUUGUGGCUCCUGAGGUCGCGGGUUCAAAUCCCGUCGCUCACCCCA
Molecule: transfer RNA, 76 nt
Filed under: Gammaproteobacteria bacterium
Lineage: Bacteria; Pseudomonadati; Pseudomonadota; Gammaproteobacteria
Description: tRNA-His
Rfam family: tRNA
About the family: Transfer RNA (tRNA) molecules are approximately 80 nucleotides in length. Their secondary structure includes four short double-helical elements and three loops (D, anti-codon, and T loops).
Source: RNAcentral